RNAcentral lists this ribosomal RNA (587 nucleotides) under uncultured Imtechium sp. Its description in RNAcentral is "bacterial SSU rRNA". It matches the Rfam family "Bacterial small subunit ribosomal RNA", at positions 335 to 916 of the family's 1533-position model. Lineage: Bacteria; Pseudomonadati; Pseudomonadota; Betaproteobacteria. The record is from RNAcentral.
ACUCUACGGGAGGCAGCAGUGGGGAAUUUUGGACAAUGGGCGCAAGCCUGAUCCAGCAAUGCCGCGUGCAGGAAGAAGGCCUUCGGGUUGUAAACUGCUUUUGUCAGGAAAGAAAUCUUCUGGGCUAAUACCCCGGGAGGAUGACGGUACCUGAAGAAUAAGCACCGGCUAACUACGUGCCAGCAGCCGCGGUAAUACGUAGGGUGCGAGCGUUAAUCGGAAUUACUGGGCGUAAAGCGUGCGCAGGCGGCUUUGCAAGACAGAGGUGAAAUCCCCGGGCUCAACCUGGGAACUGCCUUUGUGACUGCAAGGCUAGAGUACGGCAGAGGGGGAUGGAAUUCCGCGUGUAGCAGUGAAAUGCGUAGAUAUGCGGAGGAACACCGAUGGCGAAGGCAAUCCCCUGGGCCUGUACUGACGCUCAUGCACGAAAGCGUGGGGAGCAAACAGGAUUAGAUACCCUGGUAGUCCACGCCCUAAACGAUGUCAACUGGUUGUUGGACGGCUUGCUGUUCAGUAACGAAGCUAACGCGUGAAGUUGACCGCCUGGGGAGUACGGCCGCAAGGUUGAAACUCAAAUGAAUUGACGG